UUAGGAAAUUUUCCCAAUGGGCGCAAGCCUGAGGGAGUAACGCCGCGUGGAGGAUGACGGCCUUCGGGUUGUAAACUCCUUUUCUGUGGGACGAGAAGAAGACGGUACCGCAGGAAGAAGCCUCGGCUAACUACGUGCCAGCAGCCGCGGUAAUACGUAGGAGGCGAGCGUUGUCCGGAAUUACUGGGCGUAAAGAGCGCGUAGGCGGCGCAGUACGACCGCUGUGAAAGCCCCCGGGCUCAACUGGGGAGGUCAGCGGUAACGGCUGUGCUGAGAGUGCAGGAGAGGGAAGUGGAACUCCGGGAGUAGCGGUGAAAUGCGCAGAGACCCGGAGGAACACCAGUGGCGAAGGCGGCUUCCUGGCCUGCAACUGACGCUGUGGCGCGAAAGCUAGGGGAGCGAACGGGAUUAGAUACCCCGGUAGUCCUAGCCGUAAACGAUGGACACUAGGUGUGCGUGGUAUCGACCCCACGCGUGCCGGAGCAAACGCAGUAAGUGUCCCGCUGGGGA
Molecule: ribosomal RNA, 510 nt
Filed under: uncultured bacterium
Lineage: Bacteria
Description: bacterial SSU rRNA
Rfam family: Bacterial small subunit ribosomal RNA
Source: RNAcentral